RNAcentral lists this ribosomal RNA (484 nucleotides) under uncultured bacterium. RNAcentral's name for it is "partial 16S ribosomal RNA". It matches the Rfam family "Bacterial small subunit ribosomal RNA", at positions 28 to 523 of the family's 1533-position model. The record is from RNAcentral.
GACGAACGCUGGCGGCGUGCUUAACACAUGCAAGUCGAACGAUGAACCCGGAGCUUGCUCCGGUGGAUUAGUGGCGAACGGGUGAGUAACACGUGAGUAACCUGCCCUUGACUCUGGGAUAACUGCGGGAAACUGUAGCUAAUACCGGAUACGACCCUCGGCGGCAUCGCCAGGGGGUGGAAAGAAUUUCGGUCAAGGAUGGACUCGCGGCCUAUCAGCUAGUUGGUGAGGUAACGGCUCACCAAGGCGACGACGGGUAGCCGGCCUGAGAGGGUGACCGGCCACACUGGGACUGAGACACGGCCCAGACUCCUACGGGAGGCAGCAGUGGGGAAUAUUGCACAAUGGGCGCAAGCCUGAUGCAGUAACGCCGCGUGAGGGGUGACGGCCUUCGGGUUGUAAACCUCUUUUAGUAGGGAAGAAGCGAAAGUGACGGUACCUGCAGAAAAAGCACCGGCUAACUACGUGCCAGCAGCCGCGGUAA